GUAAGUAAAAGUCGUAACAAGGUUUCCGUAGGUGAACCUGCGGAAGGAUCAUUAUUGAAUAUGUUUGGUUCUGGUGCUGGCUCUUCACUGAGCAUGUGCUCGAUCCAUAACUAUUUAUCUUCUCUUGUGCACCUUUUGUAGUCUUUCAGAGCAAGUGAUAACUCUCGCAGCAAUGCGGUUUGGGGGACUUGGGCGUGAGCCCUUCCCCUGCGUUUGCUUCUUUGGAGGGCUAUGUUUUCAUAUGCACUAUAAAGUUACAGAAUGUCUUUUAAAGAUUGUGCUAGUCGCAGUCAUUAAACCUAUACAACUUUCAGCAACGGAUCUCUUGGCUCUC
Molecule: unclassified non-coding RNA, 334 nt
Filed under: plant metagenome
Description: partial contains small subunit ribosomal RNA, internal transcribed spacer 1, and 5.8S ribosomal RNA
Rfam family: Eukaryotic small subunit ribosomal RNA (bases 1-54)
Source: RNAcentral